RNAcentral lists this unclassified non-coding RNA (224 nucleotides) under Hevea brasiliensis (rubber tree). Lineage: Eukaryota; Viridiplantae; Streptophyta; Magnoliopsida; Malpighiales; Euphorbiaceae. The record is from RNAcentral.
AAAACUCAAAGCUCAAAUUACACAUAAACAAAAUAAUCAGAAGAGAAUUAGAAAAUACAUUACAGAUAAUUUUAUUUAUAAAAGCCAAUAUAAUAUUCCACCUGCAAGGAUAGUAGAAACGGAAGAAAAAUGGUUGAAGCGCCGGUCAUGGCUUGCAACGGAAGUAUACCGACGGGCGGCACUUGAUAACAUUUUUUUGCGGGAGGCAGUAGCGUUUGGCUCUG